Molecule: long non-coding RNA, 423 nt
Organism: Adelges cooleyi (spruce gall adelgid)
Lineage: Eukaryota; Metazoa; Arthropoda; Insecta; Hemiptera; Adelgidae
Exons: 3
Source: RefSeq, a predicted model, not a curated record
AUGUGAUCAUUGGAUGUUGUUAUGGUCAAUGCAGCCGAACACAUCACGCCACUCCACUCACGCCAUAUAAUAAAGCAUAUAAAUAAUAUGUACAAUCAUAGUUCAAGCAUAACACAAUUGUUUGUACUAAACUAUCACUGUUUCUAGUCUUCAUUUUACAAAUCCUCUACCAACCAAAACCAAAAAUGGGCGCAGAAAAAGUAUCCAUGAACAUCGUUGUGGUCGGACAAGUGCAAUCCGCCAAAUCCGCCAAAACCGUCACCAAGGUCCAACCCCAAGUUUCUCAAUACAAUAUGAGCUGUUAAUUGAACUCACAUUUCUCCACCUCAAAAAUGCCAUAGACCAACCGGAUAUUAUGUCCAAUGUAUAAAAACUUGACAUGUAGAGUUUAAAAAUCAAUCAAUAAACCAGCUUUUCCGUUAA